Molecule: transfer RNA, 73 nt
Filed under: Enterobacteriaceae endosymbiont of Donacia piscatrix
Lineage: Bacteria; Pseudomonadati; Pseudomonadota; Gammaproteobacteria; Enterobacterales; Enterobacteriaceae
Description: tRNA-Ala
Rfam family: tRNA
About the family: Transfer RNA (tRNA) molecules are approximately 80 nucleotides in length.
Source: RNAcentral
GGGGCUAUAGCUCAGACGGUAGAGCAUCUGCUUUGCACGCAGAGGGUCAGCGGUUCGAUUCCGCUUAGCUCCA